UAUGCUGGUGACAAUAAAAUUCCAGAUGGUUAAUGAUGCAAUGAACAACAAAAUCUCCGAGAAACCAUUCACCGUCACUGUUAGAAACAUGAUACAGCCAUGCUCAGUAUUGGAUUUCCUUCACCUAACAUGCUCCAUGAUUUACCCAUUAUUUGAAUGCAAAACCACGAUUAUUGGAUACAAUAAGGUCAUAAUAUGUUUUAUUAGAGUGAAAUCUGUCAUAUAUUUCAAAACUGUAAGGAAAUAUCAUGUGUAGCCAAAUUUCAGAAAAAGUUACAAAACAUUUUCAAAACUCCUUCAAUCAUUGCCGAUUGCAUUUGACAAAAAAAAAUCAUCAUUAAAUCUCAGUUCAAAUGUUAAAUAAAUAAACGAAAAAUGUCAAAACAUUAAUAGUAUUGCAUCCUGUUUUAUUGUUUUUAUACCUCAACGCUGAAAAAAUGUAAGUAAAUACAGACGUAGCCCAUCCACUGAUGUCAACGGGUGAGUAGAGAAUGUGUGACGCAAGUCGCAACCCUAGGGUGUAGGUCUACUCUACAAUGUCUAUAAUUAGCAACAGUGAAAUGAUUCUUUGUUAAAGCCAAGAUUUUGCUCCUAUGCCUAGGCGUGUUAGAUUUCUUUACUUACUUUAAAAACAUUACAGUUAGCAAUCACAUCUUUAUAUUAACAAUUACUGGCCAGAAUGAAAUUAUUCACAUGUUCUUGCACUUCAAGUUCCCUUAUGAAUGAAAAAAUGAUACACCAAUAGUGACCAGAAGGACUUAAAAAAAAAUUGAAGUCAGUUAAAAAACAAAGUGCCUUGAUGCCUUGAUAUUGAUAUUAAUAGACAUUUUGAGUCAUAGCCACCUUCUCCAUAUAAUUAAAAUCAUUAUCAUCUUUUAUUCUUCAAAGAACAGUUAAUCUCUACAAAUAAAUUCUUUAGUAACAGAAGGCUUCGAUUAUUUUUUAGGCCUAUAAAUCAUUCCGCAUCCAACAAGCAGCUUGAACACAGUCUAAAACUUUAGCAUUCAAAGAAAAGUUGUAAUUCAUAUUCCUAUCUUGAAAAGUUCAUGACUGUUGAACUUAUUAUGAAUUAUAAUGCUGGCAUUAUGCUGCAGAGGUAGUAGUUACAAUUGACCAGCGUGUUAUCCGCACAUUGACGCUACUGCUAACCUUACCGGCUAAGCGAUGUAAAAAAAAAAAAAAAAAAAAAAUGUGUUAAAAUCACACGGAUCAUGAAUUAAACCAAUGCAUAAAAGGGAUCAUAUUUAUAUAACCAUAAGGAAAAAAGUGCUAGUUGUGGAUUUGCAAAAUUGUCGACAUCCAUGACAUUACAAAUGAAAAGAAAAGUUUAACAGUAGCUACCUGGCAACAUUACGUUGAGUCAAAGAUUCUGGACGAUACAAAAAGAAGAUUCGUGUUGCAUGACUUGCACCAGAUUUGAGCAUAGCUCUACUAAAAUUAACUGCUCAUGUAAAAAUAUGGUUUUCAGUUUGAAACCCAGUGGUGUGGGUAUUAACUUCAUUAUCAUCAUAAUCCUAUGCAAUACAGUAUCAGUGGUGUUUUACAGUCGCUCGUGCACCCAAUCCAUAGCUCAUUCUUAAAAUCGUAAUAUCUUGAAACGUAGGCUAUUCUUACAAGGCAAGUUAUCCAGUGGCUAUGUUUGGUCAUCCUCGGGAGAACAAAAACUCCGAUCAUUCGAAAUCCCCUCGGCCCCAUUCAACUUCCAGUGAUUGCUUAUAACAUGUUGAGGUGUGUAUGAUAAUGCUGCCGAAAUGAAAUGGUCUAGGAACUCCUUUUCGUAGAUGCAUGAUGGGACAAAUGCUGACCAAUAGGAGAGCAGGAUCUUACGGCGAUGACUAGCAUCAGGAACCAACGGGAGAGCGGAAGGAUGGUGGCGAGUCUACUGAGUUGGCAGCGUGCAAGUUUUAAAAUUGUUCUCGGCAGCCGGGGCAAAUCUUGGACUUUACAGUACGUACACCCUUUCGCAACCUGAAUUAUUUUCAUACACAAAAGCAAAAAAAUCUUCGUCUUUGCCUUCGUAACCUGGAUUUUUCGUAUGUAGGGACUUUCGUAUGUAGGGGUAUGACUAUUAUAAAGAUACAGCUUAA
Macrobrachium nipponense is the source of this 2087-nucleotide long non-coding RNA. RefSeq lists it as uncharacterized. The transcript is spliced from 2 exons. Lineage: Eukaryota; Metazoa; Arthropoda; Malacostraca; Decapoda; Palaemonidae. The record is from RefSeq and is a predicted model, not a curated record.